RNAcentral lists this unclassified non-coding RNA (244 nucleotides) under Hevea brasiliensis (rubber tree). Lineage: Eukaryota; Viridiplantae; Streptophyta; Magnoliopsida; Malpighiales; Euphorbiaceae. The record is from RNAcentral.
GUACAUAUUCUAUCUCCCUAGCUAGUAGUGCCAGUAUAGCUUCUUCUGUAACAUCUUUAUGUUUUAGAAGAAGAAAGGGGAGAGUUGUUUUCAUGGCUGUAUCUAAUAACAGAGCAAACCAUAGAAAACUUCCAAAGAACCUUAGAAAUCCUCGACGACCCAAGCUCCCACCAGAUAUGGACUAUAGUUUCAAAAGGGUUUUGUAUGAGGGAGUUGUAAGUGAGGCUUGUUCUGAUGGAAUUGA